UAAUAAAAGUGUUUAUGGCACUUUUAAAACAAUCCAUAUCCACCUUGUGUGCAAUGUUUCUUUUAUUUUAUCAACACUUUAUUUUAUUCUUUUGUCUGAAAUAUUUUAUGAAUUUUUACUUAAUUCAAAAAAUA
RNAcentral lists this unclassified non-coding RNA (134 nucleotides) under uncultured Mortierellaceae. Its description in RNAcentral is "sequence contains ITS1". The record is from RNAcentral. Lineage: Eukaryota; Fungi; Mortierellomycota; Mortierellomycetes; Mortierellales; Mortierellaceae.